Poecilia reticulata (guppy) is the source of this 2260-nucleotide non-coding RNA. The record is from RefSeq and is a predicted model, not a curated record. Lineage: Eukaryota; Metazoa; Chordata; Actinopteri; Cyprinodontiformes; Poeciliidae.
GACCUGGAUAAGGGCUAGGGGGGCGCUGGCCCAAAAAAGGUUGAGAAACACUGUAUUAGACGUUUUUUUGGUUCACUCUGAGAACCUUGUGCUAAAGAAGAUUUGAACCCUGGGAUUUGGAUUAUUUCCAUAAAUGUAUUUGAAACCUUUACAUUUUCAGUCUUUACAUUACAUUUUUAAAAAGUUAGAAAAACUGACUGAAAAGUCUUUAAAAUCUUGAAGUUCAAAGAAGUGGUCACAAUAAGCAAUUCAUCAGUUAUUCAUAGAAUAAAUUAAAAGGGGAGUGAUAAUUUACAUUCAUAGACAUCAUAAUUUCAUUUAUGGUUUUGGUUUUAUGAAUUUUUUUUUGUUUUAUGUAUUGUUUUUUGGUUGUGUUUUUUGGAUGCUUUCCAGUUCCAUUGUGACGUUAGUUUGUUGGUCGUUGAGAGGUUGAACAUUAUUAUGCCAUUAUCGAAGCAUUGCUUCCAAAUAGUCUCAAACUAUUUUAGUCUCAAACAAUAUUAUCGUUUAUCGUAAUAUUGUUCAGCAAAAUUUGCUAUCGUGACAGACCUAACAUUACUAUCUUAAUGUUGAGUUUAUAGCUUUGUGUUUUAACUUCUGCCGUCUCCCUCGUAGUGUCACUCAGAGUCCAGUCGCUCGGAAGACGUGUCCAGUGAGGGGGAGGAAGAGGAGGAUGACUCUUCCUCACUGUCCAGAAGCUCGUUACGCUCCUGCUCCAGAGCCGAGCACAGCGCUCCUCCCUCCGACAGCUCGGCACCUGGAAGUCUCCUGAUCGAAGGGGCCAGCUUCCUCUCCGCGACUCCGGCUCAGUGGAGCGUGGAAGAAGUCUGCAAGUUCAUCUCCUCGCUUCAAGGUUGCGAGGAGCUGGCGGCCCAGUUUCUGUCGCAGGAAAUAGACGGACAGGCUCUGCUGCUGCUGAGAGAAGACCACCUAAUCUCCACCAUGAACAUUAAACUGGGUCCGGCUCUGAAGAUCUGUGCCUCAAUCAACAGUCUGCGCGAGUGAUGGCUGGGCCCUCAUUUCUGACGCCUCACUUGGACUAGAUUGUGCGGAUGUGUUGGUUUACAAACAGUUGAUCCCUAUCAAUCUGAAGGUGCCUUUCAGACCACAUGAACCUUUUAAUCCAGUUCAUCCUCUUUGAUGUUUCUCUUGUUUUAAGGUAGGAGCUUUCUUAAAAGCCCAUGAGUGACAUAAAGGGAUGUGAUUGAUUCAGUUAAGAGGUAGGAUUGAUUGACUGAGCUACAGUUUGUUCUCAGUGCCUCCUAAAGCCCUUAGAGAACCUUUAAGUUACUGGGUCCCAGAACGCCCACAGUUCCUUGCUAAACUAUUUUCCCCCCUUGAUUUUUUUUUUUCAUAUUUUGUCUCAUUGCAACCACAAACUUUGAGUCUUUUUCUGGGAUUUUACGUCAGCCAACACAAAGCAACACAAAAGAGCGGCGUGCAUUGGGAUUCAUACUCCAUAGAUCUACCUUUUGUUUGUUGGAGUACGUCUCUACCUGCUUCAUCCUCUGUAGAGGACGUUGCCAUGGAGAUCCAUUUUCCUUCAGCUGCGCAGUUCUGCUGUACUGUGUGUUGGUCUAUCGCCGUAAACGGUUGUUGUCUUAACGUGAUGAAAUGGGGAAAAACUUUUAAGGGGUGUGAUUACUUUUCUUUUUUCAAGGCACUAGAUAGACAGUAUUCUUUCUGGACUCUGAAUGUGCGGACUUCUGCAUACUGGUAUGCGUAAGCCGCUGAUGUCAUGAACUGAAGUGUUCCUUUCAUAAGUGUUUGUCUUUUUCUUUGAAACUUGGUGUAAUUGUAUGUGGACUCCUUGAAAACUCCAACUCUCACUGCCUGUCAGGUGGUCCUGCGUAAACAUCUCACUUCAAACAGUAUUUUAAAAAGGUGCUUCGGUCUUCAGGUUGUUUGUGACAAUUACAUGUGUUCGGUCUUUUGUUGUAUUCUGCUUAUGUUUUUGUUUUUUUUGUCCUAGAUGCCAAACCCAGGCUUCAAUCACAUCACUGACAAUGACACUCAACAAGCCUGGUGUUUUAGUAGUUUUUUUUGUUUGUUUGUUUUUUAAUAGUCAUGAAGAGUUUAGUUUUGUAUUUUCUCAUUUUUAUAGUACAAUCAGAAUUAUUUUUUUCAUGGGACAAUAUAGUUGUAGAAGCUUUAAUAAAGUACCUGGAGGCGGCUACUGAUGCUCUGCUCUUUCAAGGGCUAAAUGGAAGUGCUCUCUGUAUGUGUAUGCAGUACUAUCAAUAAACAUUACUGGAACUGA